UACGUAGGGGGCGAGCGUUGUCCGGAAUUAUUGGGCGUAAAGAGCUCGUAGGCGGUUCGGCAAGUCACGUGUGAAAUCUCCACGCUCAACGUGGAGGCGCCACGUGAGACUGCCGUGACUCGAGUCCGGUAGGGGAGCGUGGAAUUCCCGGUGUAGCGGUGAAAUGCAUAGAGAUCGUAAGGAAGACCAGUGGCGAAGGCGGGUCUCUGGACAGUUCCUGACACUGAGGCACGAAGGCCAGGGGAGCAAACGGG
RNAcentral lists this ribosomal RNA (254 nucleotides) under uncultured bacterium. Its description in RNAcentral is "partial 16S ribosomal RNA". It matches the Rfam family "Bacterial small subunit ribosomal RNA", at positions 524 to 776 of the family's 1533-position model. The record is from RNAcentral.